Molecule: transfer RNA, 71 nt
Filed under: Cavia porcellus (domestic guinea pig)
Lineage: Eukaryota; Metazoa; Chordata; Mammalia; Rodentia; Caviidae
Rfam family: tRNA
About the family: Transfer RNA (tRNA) molecules are approximately 80 nucleotides in length. Their secondary structure includes four short double-helical elements and three loops (D, anti-codon, and T loops). Further hydrogen bonds mediate the characteristic L-shaped molecular structure. tRNAs have two regions of fundamental functional importance: the anti-codon, which is responsible for specific mRNA codon recognition, and the 3' end, to which the tRNAs corresponding amino acid is attached (by aminoacyl-tRNA synthetases). tRNAs cope with the degeneracy of the genetic code in two manners: having more than one tRNA (with a specific anti-codon) for a particular amino acid; and 'wobble' base-pairing, i.e. permitting non-standard base-pairing at the 3rd anti-codon position.
Source: Rfam by way of RNAcentral
GGUGAUGUAGCUCAGUGGUAGAGUACUUGCUUAGAAGGUAUGAUUCCUUGGGUUUAAUCCCAGCACCCCCC